GGAGUAAAGCUUAUUGUGAGAAGUCAGCAGAAGCCAUAGUACUUAAGUUCUUUUUAAGGAAGGGC
This 65-nucleotide non-coding RNA is filed under the name Bacteroides thetaiotaomicron. The record is from RNAcentral. Lineage: Bacteria; Pseudomonadati; Bacteroidota; Bacteroidia; Bacteroidales; Bacteroidaceae.